RNAcentral lists this ribosomal RNA (951 nucleotides) under Fusarium sp. FRC S1930. RNAcentral's name for it is "eukaryotic LSU rRNA". The stretch from base 421 to 951 matches the Rfam family "Eukaryotic large subunit ribosomal RNA", at positions 1 to 559 of the family's 3401-position model. Lineage: Eukaryota; Fungi; Ascomycota; Sordariomycetes; Hypocreales; Nectriaceae. The record is from RNAcentral.
CCGAGUUAUUCAACUCAUCAACCCUGUGAACAUACCCAAACGUUGCUUCGGCGGGAAUAGACGGCCCCGUAAAACGGGCCGCCCCCGCCAGAGGACCCUUAACUCUGUUUCUAUAAUGUUUCUUCUGAGUAAAACAAGCAAAUAAAUUAAAACUUUCAACAACGGAUCUCUUGGCUCUGGCAUCGAUGAAGAACGCAGCGAAAUGCGAUAAGUAAUGUGAAUUGCAGAAUUCAGUGAAUCAUCGAAUCUUUGAACGCACAUUGCGCCCGCCAGUAUUCUGGCGGGCAUGCCUGUUCGAGCGUCAUUACAACCCUCAGGCCCCCGGGCCUGGCGUUGGGGAUCGGCGGAGCCCCCCGUGGGCACACGCCGUCCCCCAAAUACAGUGGCGGUCCCGCCGCAGCUUCCAUCGCGUAGUAGCUAACACCUCGCGACUGGAGAGCGGCGCGGCCACGCCGUAAAACACCCAACUCAACAGGGAUUGCCCCAGUAACGGCGAGUGAAGCGGCAACAGCUCAAAUUUGAAAUCUGGCUCUCGGGCCCGAGUUGUAAUUUGUAGAGGAUGCUUUUGGUGAGGUGCCUUCCGAGUUCCCUGGAACGGGACGCCAUAGAGGGUGAGAGCCCCGUCUGGUUGGACGCCGAACCUCUGUAAAGCUCCUUCGACGAGUCGAGUAGUUUGGGAAUGCUGCUCUAAAUGGGAGGUAUAUGUCUUCUAAAGCUAAAUACCGGCCAGAGACCGAUAGCGCACAAGUAGAGUGAUCGAAAGAUGAAAAGAACUUUGAAAAGAGAGUUAAACAGUACGUGAAAUUGUUGAAAGGGAAGCGCUUGUGACCAGACUUGGGCUUGGUUGAUCAUCCGGGGUUCUCCCCGGUGCACUCUUCCGGCCCAGGCCAGCAUCAGUUCGCCCUGGGGGAUAAAGGCAUCGGGAACGUGGCUCUCUCCGGGGAGUGUUAU